RNAcentral lists this long non-coding RNA (3515 nucleotides) under Homo sapiens (human). RNAcentral describes it as "HSALNT0310950". The record is from RNAcentral. Lineage: Eukaryota; Metazoa; Chordata; Mammalia; Primates; Hominidae.
AGGAGUGGCUGGCUCAGCAAGAUUAGAGCCUCUCUCUGGAUUGUUCCUCAGAACCAGAAGAACUGUGUGGAGUGGCAGCAACUGGAGGAAGCAGAAUGUCCCCGAGCAAGUCUCCUACUGUUCUCAAAUACAACGUCUAUUUUCUCCUUAUCGCAUGUCUUUAGUUGAUGAAAGAGGGUAAUACCCUGGCUUCAUGCUCAUAUUUAUCAAGCAUUUCUGGAGCAGCUCCUACAUUCCAAACUCUAAAUUGAGUGUUGAAAGGUGGGACAGUGAACAAAACAGACCCAAACUUGAUGGCAGAACCCAUGGACUAGCCUGCCCCACAGGGUCUGGUGGAAGAUAUGCUCCACUGAACUGACAAAAAUACACAACUAUAUGACUUACAAAUGAGCAAACAACCUAUCCAUGCUUGGAGAGUCCAGAAGCCUUCCUGGAGUUGGUGACAUCGAAGUGGAGAGUGACAGAUGAAAAUGGCGUGAAGCAAACAAGGGAAGGGUUUUCCAAGCCAAGAAAGCAGAGUGAAUGAAGUCAGGUUCAACCAUGUUGGCUUUUUUGUUUAUUAUUGUCUACCUGCUUGUGUAUGGCUUUAAGAUGGUAGAUACAAAUUCUUAAAUCUUUGUACAAAAGGGGCAAGGAAGUUGGAAUGAGCCGUUGGGUAUUAGCUGUGUAAAUCUCUAUUUUUCCUUCUGCAUGUGGCCACAUGCUACUUCAAUGUUAUGUUCUUUUCUCAUUUUUUUGCACUAUUUACACACAGAAAAAAAUCAUUUUGGCCAACAAUGUUUAUUUAAGAUCAACUUGAUACUCACUGAUGCUCUAAUAUGUGCCUUUAACAAAAGCCUCCUGAAGCAAAACUCACGCAGUAAACCGUCUUUGUUAUCUAUCACUUCUAGAUCCAAGAAGUGUCAUCAGUGCAUCAAAGCCAGGAAGCAGAUAGAAAAUCAGGUUUAGAAAUCCAAGAUCAAGACAGUGACAGGUCAAGUUCAGGAGAGGUGGAGGAGUCAGAGAGCAGGAGCAUAAUUAGAGCAUAAUUGAAACCCAAGGUGACCUCUGCCUUAAACAGGAUUUGAGGACAGCCCCUGUAAUUGGAUUCAGGGGUCUACACAACUCUAAGUUUACGAGAAACCUCAUAGAGUGAACCUUGGGAAUACAGGAACCCCAACAUAUAUUCACUCAUGUGUGCACCCCCCAAAAAGCACAAGAAUAUUUACAGGAACACUAUAAAAUCCCCAUAUGGGAAACAGUAGAAUGGGUAAAUUGUGGGUUUUUUACACAGUGAAAUACAAUUCUGCAAUGUGAAUAGACUUACAACACAACUACAUUUGAAAAUGACACUGAAUCUUACAAAUAUAAUGAUAUGGGGAGGGAACCACACAUAAAAGGCACAUAUUUUUAUGAAUUGUGCCUUUUGGUCUCAUUUUUAUGAAGUUUAAGAACAAGCAAAAGUAAUUUAGGGUAUUAGAAGUUCUGACAGCUGUUUCCCUUGUACAGGGCAAAUGGGUAGUGUCUGGAGGGAACACAGGAGUGGCAGGGAUUCUGGAGUGCGAAUAAUCUGGUUUUUGAUCUGGGUGCUGUUUAUAACAGUAUGUUCAACUUGUGGAAAUGCAAUAAGUAAUACACUUAAUUUUGUACUUUUGUAUAUAAUGCUAUACUUUAGUUAAGGUUUGGGGAGAAAAUAGGAAUAUAGAUAGACCUCUGGGAUGACUGGGGAUGUUGAAAAAUACACUUUGAAAAUUGUUUGAAAAAUACUGACCUAAAAAUUCAUCAAACUGUGUUCAGCAACUUUAAAUGACUGCGAAGAAAAUUUGGGUAACCUGUUGAGAAGAAUCAGGACUCUGAGCUUUCAUUAGCUGAACUCUGUUUAACUCCACUUAGAGCCUACAUGCCCACUCAAGUUUUUCAGGGGAUAAGUCCUUGUUGCUUGCUACAACUACUUACUAGUCACCAUCAUUUGGCUGAUCAUUUGCAUCUCACAUAGAUAACUUUUUUUUUCCUGAGGAAUGGUUCGUCACAUCUGUGGAUAGCAACAAAUCAUACAUGAACAAAUUUUACUUUAUGUUAAUUGUAAGAGACAGUUUUACUGGAUUCUGUGAAAUAAACCAGUAUAUGGGUUUAACUGUCUAACUACUUAUAUAAACAUUUCAUCAUCUAGGUACGUAUCUGUCCCUCUUCUAACAUUUAUUAAAAAUGUUUAAGUUCCCUGUUAAUGAGCACUGAGUUUUAAUUUGUGCUCAAGAUCACUUUGUCUAAUAACAUUUACCUUAGCGGGAUAUUACUGGUGUAAUCAAUUAAAUAUUUUCUAAAUAAUGGGAAUUACAAGCACACAAACAUCUACUGGGCAAGAUGGGUGAAGAGUAAAGGCAGUAGUGAGAAACAAGUGUAAGCCAGUUAAUUCAGUUUCAGCUUGUAAGUUUUCAGUGUUUAGAUUUAAAACCAAAAAAUCCAAAAUCUGAAUUACCUAAUUUUCUGAUUAAAUUUAGAAAAUUAAAAUUGUCAAUGAACUUAAAAAUUUUUAACUUUGUAUAAGCCUAACAAACCAUAUCUAUAGGCAGGAUUCAGUUCACACAUUGUCAGUCUGAGCCUUCCACAAGCAUGAUUUUAAUCACUCUUCACAAAUGUCCUAUGAGGUGGGCAUUGUACAGAGAAGGAAACCGAGGCGCAUAGAAAGUGUAGCGUAUUGGUCAAGUUCACACAGCUAAGAAGAGCCAAGCUAGAGUAAAGUCCAAGUCUAAUUAUCAAAAUUACUAUUCAUUUCCCCAAUGAGAAAAAAGCCUCACUGCAUAUCACUAUGCUGGGAUUAACAAUCAAAUUAUGGUUUUUUACUUACAGGUAUGAUGGGAAAAAAGAUGGAGGAAAUAUUUGCAUUAUUUGCUAAGGAAUUUUUUCUUUUGGAAAUUGGCUUAAAAUUCUGUACUACAGAGAGUAUAUACCACUCAGUAUUGGAUUCAUCUUUCUUUUUCUGGCAAUAAUAUUCAUUAUAAGACACAAGAAAUAAACCAAUCACCUUAUCUUAGACUAUCCAAAGACUACAAAGGGACUUGUCUUAAAAUUACAUGUGUGGAUGGCAACAACUCAUACAUUUCCAAAUUUUAGUUUAUGUUAAUUGUAAGAGUUGGUUUUACUGGAUUUUGUGAAAUAAACCAGUAUUUGGGUUUAACUGUCUAACUACUUACAUAAACAUUUCAUCAUCUAGGUACAUAUCUGUGCCUCUCCUAUCGUUUAGUAAAAAUGUUUAAAUUCCCUGUUAAUGUCUUCUAAUGGAAUGGAUCUAUGGAGGGUGAGGAUUCCACCUUUUUGGUUUUGAUUGCAGCAAGCUUUUUGAAUGUUUAUCUUCAGUAUAUUUUUCCAGAUAAUUAAUUAAUUCAAUUUCAGUGAGACCAUCCAUGCUUAUAUCUAUUUUGUUGUAAUCCUUUCUCUUUUUUGACAAACGAAUAAAAAAAACUUAUUAGGAGAACAAAAACAUAGAAUUGCUAGGAACUGUUCAUGUAUGUCCCAAACUGAUAUUAAAAUAGAUUUUG